UAGUCCACGCCGUAAACGAUGGUCACUAGCUGGUGGGCUUUAGGGUUCAUUGGCCAAGCGAAAGUGAUAAGUGACCCACCUGGGGAGUACGUUCGCAAGGAUGAAACUCAAAGGAAUUGACGGGGGCCCGCACAAGCGGUGGAGCAUGUGGUUUAAUUCGAUGAUACGCGAGGAACCUUAUCAAGACUUAAAUGGGAAUUGACAGGCUGAGAGAUUAGCUUUUCUUCGGACAAUUUUCAAGGUGCUGCAUGGUUGUCGUCAGCUCGUGCCGUGAGGUGUCAGGUUAAGUCCUAUAACGAGCGCAACCCCUAUCAUUAGUUGCCAGCGAGUCAAGUCGGGGACUCUAAUGAGACUGCCAGUGUAAACUGUGAGGAAGUGGGGAUGACGUCAAAUCAUCACGGCCCUUACGUCUUGGGCUACACACGUGCUACAAUGGUCGUUACAGAGGGCAGCUACAUCGUGAGGUGAUGCUAAUCUUGAAAGCGAUCUCAGUUCGG
Molecule: ribosomal RNA, 497 nt
Filed under: uncultured bacterium
Lineage: Bacteria
Description: bacterial SSU rRNA
Rfam family: Bacterial small subunit ribosomal RNA
Source: RNAcentral